RNAcentral lists this long non-coding RNA (3053 nucleotides) under Homo sapiens (human). RNAcentral's name for it is "non-protein coding LINC01120:4". The record is from RNAcentral. Lineage: Eukaryota; Metazoa; Chordata; Mammalia; Primates; Hominidae.
AACUGCCACCUGGGAGACUGCUGGUAAAGAUGGGAGGUGGCCUUUGCCGCUUUCCAUCUUCUCACUGCAGUUUCUUCACGUGGGCCACUUGUACUUAAAAUGUCUUCUUAAUUUAUUCUUUUUACUUCCCCAGCUCCAAUUUGUCUACAGAUUUACAAAUUUGUUUUAUAGUUUUAUGACUCAAUUUGUAUUUUCGGUCCUAUGAAGCUUUUUGCCUUAAAUAUUUUUCUCUGUUUAUAAGAAUGUGCUGUUUCCUAGGCCAGUUUUGUACACACUCUUCCAUAGAAUAGAUCCAGAAGAAACACAACAAUACUGCCUUCAUCAUAUCAGGAGAUCUUGAUACCAAAUACGAGUGUUGCCUCCAAGAUGCAAGAUCCUGAGGGCUCCAAAGAAUCCACUGUCCGUCACAAAUCGACGGUCCGCCAGCUCAGUUUCAGAGACGUGGUGCUCCGCUGCAGGCCUCAUCCUCAGGUGCACCCUGGCAGUCAGCCAUCUGAAGGUACUAUGGAAAUUCAGUUACUCACUCUUGGGAGCAGAAGGAUUCCAGACCAUUCCUGUGUGCACCCUGGCAGGGAGCCAUCUGAAGGUACUGUAGAAAUUCAGUUACUCACCCUUGCAAGCAUAAGGAUUCCAGAUUCUUCAGGGUCCCAAACUUCAGAUAACUCUAAAAUUGCUACACUAUAUUCUUCUUUAUUUCAUGUGUGCCAAUUUAAAUGUACAAGUCAAUCACUAGUGCUACAAAUGCAGAAGUAAAGAUGUAUUUCCACUUCAAGUUUGGUUCACUUUUAAGAGUAAAGAACACGUCAAUGCAAGGUUUAGAUAUUAAUGCAAGGUUUAGAUAUAAUGUCUAGCUGAUUGUUAGACAUUAGCUAAAAUGGAACUCUUCCUGAGAUAGCGUUGCCACAUUUUCAAACAAAUGGACAUCAUGUGAAACUUGUAAAUUAACUUAAAAAUUGCAGUAGUACAGAAAGUUCCCAUAUACCCUCCCCCCUCAGUAUCUUUUUUGUGACCACAUCUUACAUGAAUGUGGUGCAUUUGUUAUAGUGGUUGAAGCAAUAGCGAUAUCUUCUUCUUAAUGAAAGUCUAGAGUUUGCACUAAGGCUCACCCUGUGUUGUUCAGCCUAUGGAUUUUGACAAACUCGUAAUGUCAUCCAUCACCCAGACAGAAGAGUUUCACACCCAAAACAUGACCAAUGCUGAACCUAUUAAUCCCUUUCUUCUUUUCCUAGGACCCCUGACUACUAUAGAUCAUUUAUUUUAUUGCCUCUAUGGAUUUUCUUUCCCAAAAUUCUAUAGAAUUGGAAUCAUAAAGUAUGCAGCCACUUAGGACUAACUGAUUUCGCUUAGCAACAUACAUGCAAGAUUUCAUAUCUUUUUGUAGCUUAAUGGCUUACAAAUUUUUAUCAGUGAAUCGUAUUCCAUUGGGUCCAUGUAAUGGUGUGGGUUGGUGCACUCACCGCCUGAAGAGCAUCUCAGCUGCUUCCAGUUCAGGCAAUUACGAAUACAGCUGCCCUCAUUCUUGUGCAGAUUUUGCAAUGGGUGUAAUUUUAAAAUUUAACUGGGUAAAUGUUUAGAAUUUUAAUCAGUUUUUUGUAUAAUAACACUAUGUUUUCCUUUGUAAGAAUUAGGUAGAAUUCAGUAAAAUCUACUGGGCAUUUUUUAAAAAGUUAUUGUUGAUUUAAUUUCUAUAAUACAUACAAGCCUACUCAGAUUAUCUGAGUCUCCUUUGGGUAGUUAUGGUUUCUGCCUUUGAAGGAAUUUUGCUGUCAGAUUUGUGAGCAUAGAUUUAUUCUAAGUAUUCCUUUAUUAUCUUCUUCAUAUUCAUGGGAUCAGCAGGAAUGAUUCCUCUUUUUAUUUACAUUAUUUAUAAAUUGUGUCUUCUAUCUUUUCUCUGUGGUUAGCCUGGCUGGAGGUUUAUCAAUUCUGUUUAUCUUUUCUAAGAAGCAGCUUUUGGUUUUGUUUUGUUCUCUGUUUAUUUUAUUAUUUCUAUUAUAAUGAAUAUAUUUUUUUUCUAUGUUAAUGUUGGGUUUACAUUACACAAUACUUUUUUCUCUAGUUUCCCAAGGUGGAAGGUAAGAAAACUGAAUUAAGAUUGUUUUUAGUUUUCUAGAUAGCAUUGUGAAUGGAACUGAUGUCACAGAAGUGUGCAUUUAAUAAUCAAAAUAAUACAUAUUGUGUAUUUUUCACCAAAAUAAUGAUUUAAAAUCCAGUAAUAUAGAUGGUAAGUGCAGAAGGAGCAUAUGUAGAUUCAGGAACGUUAAACAUUGUAACUUUUUUUAAAAAGAGGAUAUUUACCAGGCCUCUUUCUGUGAGGAGACCCUGUCCUGGAGUGAUGCCGUGCAUUUGUGUGCUGCCUGGGUGAACACUGCCUACUUCACAGUGAUGAGGGUGGCUUAGACAGAGACCCGAGGCUCUGUCCUCCAGGGCUCUCCUGAUGGUCUCCUUUACCUUCCUUCACCACCAAGGAGGGUGGCCCAGCAGCAGCUCAGCCUGUGCUCUCACCCACCUCCUCUGCACACACCAGUCCUCGUCCUCAGCACCCAAGGCUGCCAGAGGUCCUUCAGCAGCUCCCGUGGCUGACAGUGACUCUACGUUUCCUAGAUUUCAGGGACCACCUGGAGGGGAGCGGACCAGAGAGACUUCCUCGGAAUAGGCUGUGGCUCUUCACAAGGUGUCUUCUAUGCUUUAUUUGGGAGCCAUUGCCUUGAGCGUUAUUUCCCAGAUGGUUUUCUAAUGUCACCAACUGAAGAAAAGACCCAUGCACACAGGACACAGCAUGAUCUGAUGCUCACAGCGUUUUCCUUCCUCUCUGAAAACGGACUCAGCGAUUCUGGCAAGCGGUACUUACUCUGAGAUCACCCGUUUGCUAAGGAAAAAUCUUAGUACUGAGAAAGGUGACACUUUCCUCCCUGCUUUUGCUGGAGAGACACUUUGGUUAUGAGUUAUUUCUAGCAUAACACAGUUUAUUUCAGAAGUCCAGCUCAAUAGCAGACCAAGGCAUGAACAACACAUGAAAAUUUAUGUUGGGAAAAUAUAUAUUGUAUGUCUGCUUG